Molecule: transfer RNA, 75 nt
Filed under: Cordylochernes scorpioides
Lineage: Eukaryota; Metazoa; Arthropoda; Arachnida; Pseudoscorpiones; Chernetidae
Description: tRNA-Thr
Source: RNAcentral
UGUCAAGGGAUGGGAAUUGAACCCACGACCUUCCGCUUACCGGGCAGAUGCCAUGACCACUAGGCUACCCUGGAC